This is a non-coding RNA of Caerostris extrusa, 85 nucleotides long. The record is from the annotation of a GenBank genome assembly. Lineage: Eukaryota; Metazoa; Arthropoda; Arachnida; Araneae; Araneidae.
GCCCAGAUGAGUGCCAGUGGUCUGGUGUGGGCUUCAAACCCGUGGCUAAUGUGAGUCAGAGUGGUUCGAUUCCACCUUCUGGGCG